Molecule: ribosomal RNA, 878 nt
Filed under: Halosarpheia fibrosa
Lineage: Eukaryota; Fungi; Ascomycota; Sordariomycetes; Microascales; Halosphaeriaceae
Description: LSU rRNA
Rfam family: Eukaryotic large subunit ribosomal RNA
Source: RNAcentral
UCACUAAGCGGAGGAAAAGAAACCAACAGGGAUUGCCUCAGUAACGGCGAGUGAAGCGGCAACAGCUCAAAUUUGAAAUCUGGCCCCCCGGGUCCGAGUUGUAAUUUGUAGAGGAAGCUUUUGGCGAGGCGCCUUCCGAGUUCCCUGGAUACGGGACGCCAUAGAGGGUGAGAGCCCCGUACGGUCUGGUGCCGAGCCUCUGUAAAGCUCCUUCGACGAGUCGAGUAGUUUGGGAAUGCUGCUCUAAGUGGGAGGUAAACUCCUUCUAAAGCUAAAUACUGGCCAGAGACCGAUAGCGCACAAGUAGAGUGAUCGAAAGAUGAAAAGCACUUUGGAAAGAGAGUUAAAAAGCACGUGAAAUUGUUGAAAGGGAAGCGCUUGUGACCAGACUUGCGCCUGGCAGCUUAGCCGUCCUUCUGGGCGGUGUACUCUGCCGGCUCAGGCCAGCAUCAGUUUCGGGCAGGGGAGAAAUGCGGCGGGAAUGUGGCUCUUCGGAGUGUUAUAGCCCNCCGUUAUACCCUGCCGGGGACUGAGGUUCGCGCUCUGCACGGAUCCUGCCGUAAUGGUUACUACCGACCCGUCUUGAAACACGGACCAAGGAGUCAUCCUCANAUGCGAGUGUUAGGGUCCAAAACCCCUACGCGAAAUGAAAGUGAGCGGAGGUGAGAGCUUCGGCGCAUCAUCGACCGAUCCUGAUGUUAUCGGAUGGAUUUGAGUAUGAGCAUAUGGGGCUGGACCCGAAAGAAGGUGAACUAUGCUUGGAUAGGGUAAANCCAGAGGAAACUCUGGUGGAGGCUCGCAGCGGUUCUGACGUGCAAAUCGAUCGUCAAAUCUGAGCAUGGGGGCGAAAGACUAAUCGAACCUUCUAGUANCUGNUU